RNAcentral lists this ribosomal RNA (504 nucleotides) under Lactobacillus amylovorus. RNAcentral describes it as "bacterial SSU rRNA". It matches the Rfam family "Bacterial small subunit ribosomal RNA", at positions 32 to 503 of the family's 1533-position model. Lineage: Bacteria; Bacillati; Bacillota; Bacilli; Lactobacillales; Lactobacillaceae. The record is from RNAcentral.
AACGCUGGCGGCGUGCCUAAUACAUGCAAGUCGAGCGAGCGGAACCAACAGAUUUACUUCGGUAAUGACGUUGGGAAAGCGAGCGGCGGAUGGGUGAGUAACACGUGGGGAACCUGCCCCUAAGUCUGGGAUACCAUUUGGAAACAAGUGCUAAUACCGGAUAAUAAAGCAGAUCGCAUGAUCAGCUUUUGAAAGGCGGCGUAAGCUGUCGCUAAGGGAUGGCCCCGCGGUGCAUUAGCUAGUUGGUAAGGUAACGGCUUACCAAGGCGACGAUGCAUAGCCGAGUUGAGAGACUGAUCGGCCACAUUGGGACUGAGACACGGCCCAAACUCCUACGGGAGGCAGCAGUAGGGAAUCUUCCACAAUGGACGCAAGUCUGAUGGAGCAACGCCGCGUGAGUGAAGAAGGUUUUCGGAUCGUAAAGCUCUGUUGUUGGUGAAGAAGGAUAGAGGUAGUAACUGGCCUUUAUUUGACGGUAAUCAACCAGAAAGUCACGGCUAACUA